Molecule: transfer RNA, 73 nt
Filed under: Hutsoniella sourekii
Lineage: Bacteria; Bacillati; Bacillota; Bacilli; Lactobacillales; Aerococcaceae
Also listed under: 2 other names
Description: tRNA-Lys
Rfam family: tRNA
About the family: Transfer RNA (tRNA) molecules are approximately 80 nucleotides in length.
Source: RNAcentral
GACUUGUUAGCUCAGUCGGUAGAGCAACUGACUUUUAAUCAGUGGGUCGCAGGUUCGAUUCCUGCACAGGUCA